Molecule: transfer RNA, 81 nt
Filed under: Rhodovulum sp. ES.010
Lineage: Bacteria; Pseudomonadati; Pseudomonadota; Alphaproteobacteria; Rhodobacterales; Paracoccaceae
Also listed under: 1 other name
Rfam family: tRNA
About the family: Transfer RNA (tRNA) molecules are approximately 80 nucleotides in length. Their secondary structure includes four short double-helical elements and three loops (D, anti-codon, and T loops). Further hydrogen bonds mediate the characteristic L-shaped molecular structure. tRNAs have two regions of fundamental functional importance: the anti-codon, which is responsible for specific mRNA codon recognition, and the 3' end, to which the tRNAs corresponding amino acid is attached (by aminoacyl-tRNA synthetases). tRNAs cope with the degeneracy of the genetic code in two manners: having more than one tRNA (with a specific anti-codon) for a particular amino acid; and 'wobble' base-pairing, i.e. permitting non-standard base-pairing at the 3rd anti-codon position.
Source: Rfam by way of RNAcentral
GCCCGAGUGGCGGAAUGGUAGACGCAGGGGAUUCAAAAUCCCCCGCCGCAAGGCGUGUCGGUUCGAGUCCGACCUCGGGCA